This 347-nucleotide ribosomal RNA is filed under the name Pseudo-nitzschia dolorosa. Its description in RNAcentral is "LSU rRNA". It matches the Rfam family "Eukaryotic large subunit ribosomal RNA", at positions 185 to 544 of the family's 3401-position model. Lineage: Eukaryota; Bacillariophyta; Bacillariophyceae; Bacillariales; Bacillariaceae. The record is from RNAcentral.
GUUCCUUGGAAAAGGACAGCUGAGAGGGUGAGACUCCCGUCCGCCUGGUAGAGUGAGUUUUUGUCAACGAGUCGAGUUGUUUGGGAUUGCAGCUCUAAUUUGGUGGUAAAUUCCAUCUAAAGCUAAAUAUUGGUGGGAGACCGAUAGCGUACAAGUACCGUGAGGGAAAGAUGCAAAGAACUUUGAAAAGAGAGUUAAAGAGUACCUGAAAUUGCUGAAACGGAAGCGAAGGAAACCAGUGUUUGUUGGUUCAUAUUUCCCUGGCCACUUGUGGUUUGGGCGCUGUGAGCUUGCGUGGGUUUGCUUUGGUUGAUCCCUUUGGAAGAGCGCAGUCAGAGUUGAUGUCU